This 501-nucleotide ribosomal RNA is filed under the name uncultured bacterium. RNAcentral's name for it is "partial 16S ribosomal RNA". It matches the Rfam family "Bacterial small subunit ribosomal RNA", at positions 30 to 523 of the family's 1533-position model. The record is from RNAcentral.
AUUGAACGCUGGCGGCAGGCUUAACACAUGCAAGUCGAGCGGAGAUGAGGUGCUUGCACCUUAUCUUAGCGGCGGACGGGUGAGUAAUGCUUAGGAAUCUGCCUAUUAGUGGGGGACAACAUUCCGAAAGGAAUGCUAAUACCGCAUACGUCCUACGGGAGAAAGCAGGGGAUCUUCGGACCUUGCGCUAAUAGAUGAGCCUAAGUCGGAUUAGCUAGUUGGUGGGGUAAAGGCCUACCAAGGCGACGAUCUGUAGCGGGUCGGAGAGGAUGGUCCGCGACACUGGGACUGAGACACGGCCCAGACUCCUACGGGAGGCAGCAGUGGGGAGUAUUGGACAAUGGGGGGAACCCUGAUCCAGCCAUGCCGCGUGUGUGAAGAAGGCCUUAUGGUUGUAAAGCACUUUAAGCGAGGAGGAGGCUACUGAGACUAAUACUCUUGGAUAGUGGACGUUACUCGCAGAAUAAGCACCGGCUAACUCUGUGCCAGCAGCCGCGGUAA